Molecule: small nucleolar RNA, 115 nt
Organism: Lathyrus oleraceus (garden pea)
Lineage: Eukaryota; Viridiplantae; Streptophyta; Magnoliopsida; Fabales; Fabaceae
Product: small nucleolar RNA Z278
Exons: 1
Source: RefSeq, a predicted model, not a curated record
GCUUAUGAUGAUGUAAUCCAAUUGUUUGAGAUGUUGUGGAGCUAAGAUCCUGUUUACAGGAUGAACCUACUUGGUGAAGCUAUGUUCAUUUGACAUUAACGGAUUUGACUGAGGC